UACGUAGGGAGCAAGCGUUGCUCGGAUUUACUGGGCGUAAAGGGCGCGUAGGCGGCAAUUCAAGUCAUCUGUGAAAUCUCCGGGCUUAACUCGGAACGGUCAGAUGAUACUGCUUUGCUAGAGUGCAGAAGGGGCAAUCGGAAUUCUCGGUGUAGCGGUGAAAUGCGUAGAUAUCGAGAGGAACACCAGAGGUGAAGACGGGUUGCUGGGCUGACACUGACGCUGAGGCGCGAAAGCCAGGGGAGCAAACGGG
RNAcentral lists this ribosomal RNA (253 nucleotides) under uncultured bacterium. RNAcentral describes it as "partial 16S ribosomal RNA". It matches the Rfam family "Bacterial small subunit ribosomal RNA", at positions 524 to 776 of the family's 1533-position model. The record is from RNAcentral.